This 253-nucleotide ribosomal RNA is filed under the name uncultured bacterium. RNAcentral's name for it is "partial 16S ribosomal RNA". It matches the Rfam family "Bacterial small subunit ribosomal RNA", at positions 524 to 776 of the family's 1533-position model. The record is from RNAcentral.
UACGUAGGGUGCAAGCGUUGUCCGGAAUUAUUGGGCGUAAAGAGCUCGUAGGCGGUCUGUCGCGUCUGCUGUGAAAACUCAGGGCUUAACCCUGAGCUUGCAGUGGGUACGGGCAGACUAGAGUGCGGUAGGGGAGACUGGAAUUCCUGGUGUAGCGGUGAAAUGCGCAGAUAUCGGGAGGAACACCGGUGGCGAAGGCGGGUCUCUGGGCCGAUACUGACGCUGAGGAGCGAAAGCGUGGGGAGCGAACAGG